CGGGUGAGUAACGCGUGAGGAACCUGCCUCGAAGAGGGGGACAACAGUUGGAAACGACUGCUAAUACCGCAUAAGCCCACGGCUCGGCAUCGAGCAGAGGGAAAAGGAGCAAUCCGCUUUGAGAUGGCCUCGCGUCCGAUUAGCUAGUUGGUGAGGUAACGGCCCACCAAGGCGACGAUCGGUAGCCGGACUGAGAGGUUGAACGGCCACAUUGGGACUGAGACACGGCCCAG
RNAcentral lists this ribosomal RNA (233 nucleotides) under uncultured bacterium. RNAcentral's name for it is "partial 16S ribosomal RNA". It matches the Rfam family "Bacterial small subunit ribosomal RNA", at positions 103 to 334 of the family's 1533-position model. The record is from RNAcentral.